Long non-coding RNA from Alligator mississippiensis (American alligator), 524 nucleotides. RefSeq lists it as uncharacterized. The record is from RefSeq and is a predicted model, not a curated record. NCBI's taxonomy places the organism in Eukaryota, Metazoa, Chordata, Crocodylia, Alligatoridae. The transcript is spliced from 4 exons.
AUAAACCUAGAUGGCUCUGCCAAUUCUAAUACAACCACAAUGCAAAGUUUGAUUUCUUCCACAAUUUGGUGCUGUGACUCGGAUAGAGAUGCCCGGAGUGAUCGGUUGGGAUACAGACAGUCUGCUCACUGAUGCCCCGGAGCCAAACUAAGAGGUUGAGUGAAUAAUGUGGUGCCUAUCUUCAAGAAAGGAAAGAAGGAAGAUCCAGGGAACUACAGGCCAAUCAGUUUGACCUCAAUCCCUGGCAAGAUCUUGGAAAAAAUUUAUCAAAUAAUCCAUUAACAACACGCUGACAGUAGACGCCAUUCUGAAAGACAGACAACACGGCUUCAUUUUGAGUCUUUCAAACAACCAAAAGAAAUCCAAGACUAAAACUCAUUUGACAUUUCCGUCCUACCUACUUUCAGUGCUUCACCCAGGUUUAGCACUUAGAUGGUUUAUACUGUCUUGUUUUGGAAUGCAAGACUCCAGCAUCCUUGUUCUUCACAAUAUUUGGAAACAUGGAAGUGAAUUUGGACAGAAUG